This 1553-nucleotide ribosomal RNA is filed under the name Salmonella enterica subsp. enterica serovar Senftenberg str. NC_MB012510-0038. Its description in RNAcentral is "bacterial SSU rRNA". It matches the Rfam family "Bacterial small subunit ribosomal RNA". The record is from RNAcentral. Lineage: Bacteria; Pseudomonadati; Pseudomonadota; Gammaproteobacteria; Enterobacterales; Enterobacteriaceae.
AAAUUGAAGAGUUUGAUCAUGGCUCAGAUUGAACGCUGGCGGCAGGCCUAACACAUGCAAGUCGAACGGUAACAGGAAGCAGCUUGCUGCUUCGCUGACGAGUGGCGGACGGGUGAGUAAUGUCUGGGAAACUGCCUGAUGGAGGGGGAUAACUACUGGAAACGGUGGCUAAUACCGCAUAACGUCGCAAGACCAAAGAGGGGGACCUUCGGGCCUCUUGCCAUCAGAUGUGCCCAGAUGGGAUUAGCUUGUUGGUGAGGUAACGGCUCACCAAGGCGACGAUCCCUAGCUGGUCUGAGAGGAUGACCAGCCACACUGGAACUGAGACACGGUCCAGACUCCUACGGGAGGCAGCAGUGGGGAAUAUUGCACAAUGGGCGCAAGCCUGAUGCAGCCAUGCCGCGUGUAUGAAGAAGGCCUUCGGGUUGUAAAGUACUUUCAGCGGGGAGGAAGGUGUUGUGGUUAAUAACCGCAGCAAUUGACGUUACCCGCAGAAGAAGCACCGGCUAACUCCGUGCCAGCAGCCGCGGUAAUACGGAGGGUGCAAGCGUUAAUCGGAAUUACUGGGCGUAAAGCGCACGCAGGCGGUCUGUCAAGUCGGAUGUGAAAUCCCCGGGCUCAACCUGGGAACUGCAUUCGAAACUGGCAGGCUUGAGUCUUGUAGAGGGGGGUAGAAUUCCAGGUGUAGCGGUGAAAUGCGUAGAGAUCUGGAGGAAUACCGGUGGCGAAGGCGGCCCCCUGGACAAAGACUGACGCUCAGGUGCGAAAGCGUGGGGAGCAAACAGGAUUAGAUACCCUGGUAGUCCACGCCGUAAACGAUGUCUACUUGGAGGUUGUGCCCUUGAGGCGUGGCUUCCGGAGCUAACGCGUUAAGUAGACCGCCUGGGGAGUACGGCCGCAAGGUUAAAACUCAAAUGAAUUGACGGGGGCCCGCACAAGCGGUGGAGCAUGUGGUUUAAUUCGAUGCAACGCGAAGAACCUUACCUGGUCUUGACAUCCACGGAAGAAUUUCAGAGAUGGAUUUGUGCCUUCGGGAACCGUGAGACAGGUGCUGCAUGGCUGUCGUCAGCUCGUGUUGUGAAAUGUUGGGUUAAGUCCCGCAACGAGCGCAACCCUUAUCCUUUGUUGCCAGCGGUUAGGCCGGGAACUCAAAGGAGACUGCCAGUGAUAAACUGGAGGAAGGUGGGGAUGACGUCAAGUCAUCAUGGCCCUUACGACCAGGGCUACACACGUGCUACAAUGGCGCAUACAAAGAGAAGCGACCUCGCGAGAGCAAGCGGACCUCAUAAAGUGCGUCGUAGUCCGGAUUGGAGUCUGCAACUCGACUCCAUGAAGUCGGAAUCGCUAGUAAUCGUGGAUCAGAAUGCCACGGUGAAUACGUUCCCGGGCCUUGUACACACCGCCCGUCACACCAUGGGAGUGGGUUGCAAAAGAAGUAGGUAGCUUAACCUUCGGGAGGGCGCUUACCACUUUGUGAUUCAUGACUGGGGUGAAGUCGUAACAAGGUAACCGUAGGGGAACCUGCGGUUGGAUCACCUCCUUACCUUAAAGAA